Molecule: long non-coding RNA, 213 nt
Organism: Gopherus flavomarginatus (Mexican gopher tortoise)
Lineage: Eukaryota; Metazoa; Chordata; Testudines; Testudinidae
Exons: 3
Source: RefSeq, a predicted model, not a curated record
CAGAGGAGCAACUGCCUGUAAUAAAGAAGUUGAGAAUGUGACUAGAGCAGCCUGGAAAUGAUUUCCAUUUUCUACUGGAAAAUGAACAACUUGAAAGAAGUACCCCAUUGUUUCACAUAUUCUUUGAAGUUUUGAGAGUGGGAAAACAGUGGCGUGACCUGCAAUAAACUGGCAAUCGCAGCAUCCCAGUCAUCUGCAAACAAUAUACAAAGA